CAUUCUCCUCUCCACAACACUCUCCUCCUUGAAAGCAACCGAAACUUGGUGUUGUUGGUGUCCAUAGUAGGCCGGAUUUCAGCUGAACUUCACUUGAAGCUUGGGGAUAGAGGGAGGAUCUUUUCACUAGUAGCUUUUCGGAGAGGCUAGCGGUAGAUUCGUAGCGAGCUGUAGUUUGCGGGACUUGGUGAACCCAACUCUGUAGAUCAGAGCCAGGAAAAGAUCAAGCUUAGGUUCAGUGGGUUAUUCUGGGGCUUCUUCAGUAGUUGUGAUUUGUCAGUACCUGAUCCUUGAGGUUGUGAACCUUGUGUGCUAUUUUAUUCUAUACGAGUGAGACUUGUAUCAUGUUUGUGUAUUUUGGCAUGUAAACUAUUUGUGUACU
Dioscorea cayenensis subsp. rotundata (Guinea yam) is the source of this 382-nucleotide long non-coding RNA. RefSeq lists it as uncharacterized. The record is from RefSeq and is a predicted model, not a curated record. The transcript has 3 exons. NCBI's taxonomy places the organism in Eukaryota, Viridiplantae, Streptophyta, Magnoliopsida, Dioscoreales, Dioscoreaceae.